This 460-nucleotide ribosomal RNA is filed under the name uncultured bacterium. Its description in RNAcentral is "partial 16S ribosomal RNA". It matches the Rfam family "Bacterial small subunit ribosomal RNA", at positions 338 to 795 of the family's 1533-position model. The record is from RNAcentral.
CCUACGGGCGGCAGCAGUGAGGAAUAUUGGUCAAUGGACGCAAGUCUGAACCAGCCAUGCCGCGUGCAGGAAGACGGCUCUAUGAGUUGUAAACUGCUUUUGUACGAGGGUAAACGCAGAUACGCGUAUCUGUCUGAAAGUAUCGUACGAAUAAGGAUCGGCUAACUCCGUGCCAGCAGCCGCGGUAAUACGGAGGAUUCAAGCGUUAUCCGGAUUUAUUGGGUUUAAAGGGUGCGUAGGCGGUCGGAUAAGUUAGAGGUGAAAUCCCGAGGCUCAACUUCGGAAUUGCCUCUGAUACUGUUCGGCUAGAGAGUAGUUGCGGUAGGCGGAAUGUAUGGUGUAGCGGUGAAAUGCUUAGAGAUCAUACAGAACACCGAUUGCGAAGGCAGCUUACCAAGCUACUUCUGACGCUGAGGAGCGAAAGCGUGGGUAGCAAACAGGAUUAGAUACCCGGGUAGUC